This 481-nucleotide ribosomal RNA is filed under the name Boletus fraternus. RNAcentral describes it as "eukaryotic LSU rRNA". The stretch from base 1 to 106 matches the Rfam family "5.8S ribosomal RNA", at positions 50 to 154 of the family's 154-position model. Lineage: Eukaryota; Fungi; Basidiomycota; Agaricomycetes; Boletales; Boletaceae. The record is from RNAcentral.
GAAUUGCGAUAAGUAAUGUGAAUUGCAGAUUUCCAGUGAAUCAUCGAAUCUUUGAACGCACCUUGCGCUCCUUGGUAUUCCGAGGAGCAUGCCUGUUUGAGUGUCAUUUGAGUUCCUCAACCAUGUCUUUUCAAGGGCAUGGCUUGGAAUUGGGGGUUGCUGGUGGACGAGAAUAUCGACCUGUCAGCUCUCCUGAAAUGCAUUAGCAAUGGGGUGGCUAGUCUUUUCGACGUGGCACGGCCUUCGACGUGAUAAUGAUCGUCGUGGCUGGAGCGUUGUGGACGGAUGCAUGGAUAGCCCAAUGCUUUCAAUAACGUUUUGAAUCGAUCGCUCGUCCUUGGAAAGGCCAUGUUUUUAGUUAUUAGUCAGGUCCGUAAGGCUGACGAACACAGAAAACRGAACAACCUUUUCUUUGGACUUGUGUACGAGUUCCACUUCGAAACUUGACCUCAAAUCAGGUAGGACUACCCGCUGAACUUAA